AUUGAACGCUGGCGGCAGGCUUAACACAUGCAAGUCGAGCGGGGUGAUGGUGCUUGCACUAUCACUUAGCGGCGGACGGGUGAGUAAUGCUUAGGAAUCUGCCUAUUAGUGGGGGACAACAUCUCGAAAGGGAUGCUAAUACCGCAUACGUCCUACGGGAGAAAGCAGGGGAUCACUUGUGACCUUGCGCUAAUAGAUGAGCCUAAGUCGGAUUAGCUAGUUGGUGGGGUAAAGGCCUUCCAAGGCGACGAUCUGUAGCGGGUCUGAGAGGAUGUUCCGCCACACUGGGACUGAGACACGGCCCAGACUCCUACGGGAGGCAGCAGUUGGGAAUAUUGGACAAUGGGGGGAACCCUGAUCCAGCCAUGCCGCGUGUGUGAAGAAGGCCUUAUGGUUGUAAAGCACUUUAAGCGAGGAGGAGGCCCUUUUGGUUAAUACCCAAGAUGAGUGGACGUUACUCGCAGAAUAAGCACCGGCUAACUCUGUGCCAGCAGCCGCCGUAA
This 503-nucleotide ribosomal RNA is filed under the name uncultured bacterium. RNAcentral's name for it is "partial 16S ribosomal RNA". It matches the Rfam family "Bacterial small subunit ribosomal RNA", at positions 30 to 523 of the family's 1533-position model. The record is from RNAcentral.